CAGUAGCCGCGGGAAAACGUAGGUGGCAAGCGUUGUCCGGAAUUAUUGGGCGUAAAGGGCUCGCAGGCGGUUUCUUAAGUCUGAUGUGAAAGCCCCCGGCUCAACCGGGGAGGGUCAUUGGAAACUGGGAAACUUGAGUGCAGAAGAGGAGAGUGGAAUUCCACGUGUAGCGGUGAAAUGCGUAGAGAUGUGGAGGAACACCAGUGGCGAAGGCGACUCUCUGGUCUGUAACUGACGCUGAGGAGCGGAAGCGUGGGGAGCGAACAGGAUUAGAUACCCCUGUAGUCCCUGUCUCUUAUAA
This 301-nucleotide ribosomal RNA is filed under the name uncultured bacterium. Its description in RNAcentral is "partial 16S ribosomal RNA". It matches the Rfam family "Bacterial small subunit ribosomal RNA", at positions 509 to 809 of the family's 1533-position model. The record is from RNAcentral.